This 440-nucleotide ribosomal RNA is filed under the name uncultured bacterium. RNAcentral's name for it is "partial 16S ribosomal RNA". It matches the Rfam family "Bacterial small subunit ribosomal RNA", at positions 338 to 795 of the family's 1533-position model. The record is from RNAcentral.
CCUACGGGAGGCUGCAGUGGGGAAUAUUGCACAAUGGGGGAAACCCUGAUGCAGCGACGCCGCGUGAGUGAAGAAGUAUUUCGGUACGUAAAGCUCUAUCAGCAGGUAAGAAAAUGACGGUACCUGACUAAGAAGCCCCGGCUAACUACGUGCCAGCAGCCGCGGUAAUACGUAGGGGGCAAGCGUUAUCCGGAUUUACUGGGUGUAAAGGGAGCGUAGACGGCAGCGCAAGUCUGGAGUGAAAUCCCAUGGCUUAACCAUGGAACUGCUUUGGAAACUGUGCAGCUAGAGUGCAGGAGAGGUAAGCGGAAUUCCUAGGGUAGCGGUGAAAUGCGUAGAUAAUAGGAGGAACACCGGUGGCGGAGGCGGCCUGCUGGACUGUGACUGACGUUGAGGCCCGAAGGCGUGGGGAGCAAACAGGAUUAGAUACCCGAGUAGUC